ACUACGGGUGGCAGCAGUGAGGAAUAUUGGUCAAUGGACGAGAGUCUGAACCAGCCAAGUAGCGUGAAGGAUGACUGCCCUAUGGGUUGUAAACUUCUUUUAUAUGGGAAUAAAAUGUUCCACGUGUGGGAUUUUGUAUGUACCAUAUGAAUAAGGAUCGGCUAACUCCGUGCCAGCAGCCGCGGUAAUACGGAGGAUCCGAUCGUUAUCCGGAUUUAGUUGGUUUAAAGGGUGCGUAGGCGGACAGUCAAGUCAGCGGUAAAAAUGCGGUGCUAAACGCCGUACAGCCGUUGAAACUGGCAGUCUUGAGUGGGCGAGAAGUAUGCGGAAUGCGUGGGGUAGCGGUGAAAUGCAGAGAUAUCACGAAGAACUCCGAUUGCGAAGGCAGCAUACCGGCGCCCUACUGACGCUGAGGCACGAAAGCGUGGGUAUCGAACAGGAUUAGAUACCCUGGUAGUC
This 459-nucleotide ribosomal RNA is filed under the name uncultured bacterium. Its description in RNAcentral is "partial 16S ribosomal RNA". It matches the Rfam family "Bacterial small subunit ribosomal RNA", at positions 338 to 795 of the family's 1533-position model. The record is from RNAcentral.